This 603-nucleotide long non-coding RNA is filed under the name Theobroma cacao (cacao). Its description in RNAcentral is "long non-coding RNA (TCAC_LNC002070)". The record is from RNAcentral. Lineage: Eukaryota; Viridiplantae; Streptophyta; Magnoliopsida; Malvales; Malvaceae.
UGCUGAAGCAUUUCCACUAUUUUUUAUUCGAUAAUCUCUGCCGUUCAUUUCUUCCUCAUUUUCCACGUGACACAAUCUAACGAUGGCAAGUCAUUCGAGUCUAAUUUGACGGCGUCUGUUCGAUUCUUUUCUUUUACUUGUAUUUUCAGCAUCGUCGUCCUUCAAUAAAACAAAGGUACAGCACAUAACUAAAUAAGAAAAAGGGAUAAUAUUUAAGAAACUGCCACGCGGCACAUUUAACGCUGGUAGUAGUAUUUUGGUCGGCUACGAAAUUUGGUUGUUUUUUUUGGACCGAAGAAAUUUACUUGUUAUAUUUCUCCAAAAUUUGUGGAGGCGAGCGGUUUCUGUACAAGUUCAGAUUUGAAAGAUUUUAGGUCUAAGGUGAAUUGACGGAAAUGACCCCUGUGUUGCAAUAGGUGCACGGAGGAGCAAAUGGAGAAAUACGGGAUUCACCUGCUAGCUUUGUCACACGUUUACUCGGUCACGCAGCUGAAGCAGAGGUGCGCCAGAGGAGUCAGUCAGCGGCUGACGAUUGAGAACGUGGUGGACGAGCUUCAGCUCGCCAGGCUCUGCGACGCACCUGAUCUUUACCUCAAGUGCAUG